GUCAAUAACCCACCGCCGUCUAAAUUGAUAUUAAAUCAAUUUUGAGGCGGGGGCUUGGAUAUCUUUAUGAUAGAAGAGCCUUGUUGACUAUCCUAAGCGCUUUUGCACUACAUUAACUGAAUCAUCACACCCAUAGACGUUCGUCCUAAUCUGUGGCUCUGU
Molecule: small RNA, 162 nt
Filed under: uncultured Ruminococcus sp.
Lineage: Bacteria; Bacillati; Bacillota; Clostridia; Eubacteriales; Oscillospiraceae
Description: HNH endonuclease-associated RNA and ORF (HEARO) RNA
Rfam family: HNH endonuclease-associated RNA and ORF (HEARO) RNA
Source: RNAcentral